RNAcentral lists this ribosomal RNA (254 nucleotides) under uncultured bacterium. RNAcentral describes it as "partial 16S ribosomal RNA". It matches the Rfam family "Bacterial small subunit ribosomal RNA", at positions 524 to 776 of the family's 1533-position model. The record is from RNAcentral.
UACGUAGGGGCCUAGCGUUGUCCGGAUUUAUUGGGCGUAAAGAGCUCGUAGGCGGUUCGGUAAGUCAGGUGUGAAAUCUCCACGCUCAACGUGGAGGCGCCACCUGAAACUGCCGUGACUCGAGUCCGGUAGGGGAGUGUGGAAUUCCCGGUGUAGCGGUGAAAUGCGCAGAUAUCGGGAGGAACACCAGUGGCGAAGGCGACUACCUGGCCUGUUCUUGACGCUGAGGCGCGAAAGCUAGGGGAGCAAACGGG